This is a non-coding RNA of Camellia sinensis, 850 nucleotides long. The record is from RefSeq and is a predicted model, not a curated record. NCBI's taxonomy places the organism in Eukaryota, Viridiplantae, Streptophyta, Magnoliopsida, Ericales, Theaceae.
AGAGUUACAUCCAACAGCCUCGGUAUCACAGAACACCAGUUCAGGGGCUUGAAGCGUGGUGCUGUGUCCGUCAUCAACAGCUCAGCCUUAUCAAUCUCUGCUUCAAGUAGACCAAUUUCAAGCUCAUUCGAUCUCUACUGCAGUCUAUACACCACCAUUGAAGAGCUCAAUCGUGUUUGGCCAGGUCAAACUCAUCCAAAAGGCAUACAUGGCACUUAAUGAUAUAAAUGCUGCUGUCGAAAGUUUCAAGAAGGCAUUGGAAUUGGAGCCAAAUGAUGCUGGAAUAAAAAAGGAGCUGGCUGCUGCAAAGAAGAAGAUUUCGGAUAGACGAGAUCUAGAGAGAAGCAUAUUCUAAGAUGUUCCAAUAGCAGUUGGUGGUUGCAUGGCUACCAUUGUCUCUUAGGAACAAUAUACAGUUAGUUACUGUGCUGAUUCAAUGUUGGAUUGAGUGAACUUGUUCAGGCUUUUUCACACAUUCAGGUUUUCAUUUGAGGGUGAAGAACAUGAGCAUAUAUCCAAAACAACUGUACAAAUUUCAGGCUAGGGCCAAAUUUUAACAACUAGAUUAAUCUAUUUUUGUUUAUUUAUUUCUGAGUUGUUGUAGCUACCUGAUCCAAUGUCCAUAUUUCUCAAGGAACAAAUACGUGUCUGGAGAGCAUUAAAUGGAGAUAUUUGCUUGACUAACCUUUUUUUUUUCUUUUUUUUUUCACUAUUGGUUUUCGGUGUAUUGUCUUAAAAUUAUAUGGGUCCAUGAUAAUAACAUGUGCUGUAUUGGCUUUUACACUCAAGGGUUACUUUCUCUUGAGUAUUCAUGAUAAUAACAUGAUAAUAAUAUUUUAUUUGCUACUAA